Molecule: long non-coding RNA, 430 nt
Organism: Drosophila montana
Lineage: Eukaryota; Metazoa; Arthropoda; Insecta; Diptera; Drosophilidae
Exons: 3
Source: RefSeq, a predicted model, not a curated record
UAUACUGAGCGGGCACUAGGAGGACCUACGUUAAAAGUUCAAGUAUCUCGUUCUUAUAGGUUCUGAGAUCGACGAGGGCAUACAUACGGACAGACGGGCAGAUAGAAGGAAAUGGCUAGGUUGACUCGGCUAUUGAUGCUGAUCAAGGAGGUAUAAAACUAAAGCUGAUUUGGGGACAACUGUUUUGACAAGAGAAAGUGUAGUCCAUAAGGACAAAAUUAGUUUUCAUAUGCUUUUAUUAUGAGUUGCAUUAUCGAAUACAAAAUCGACAGACUACAUCCACUCAGAUUACAUCCCCUGACAGAAGCUGAACUGAUUAGGGAAAACAGAUAGAACAGAUCAAGAAACAUUGUAAACAAACUUUUGGAAGUCAAGAAAAACUUUUGGCAAGAAAUGUAAAAAAAAAUAAAUUAUAACUUGUCUAGUCAAA